RNAcentral lists this transfer RNA (82 nucleotides) under Bowmanella dokdonensis. RNAcentral describes it as "Bowmanella sp. UDC354 tRNA". It matches the Rfam family "tRNA". Rfam says of the family: Transfer RNA (tRNA) molecules are approximately 80 nucleotides in length. Their secondary structure includes four short double-helical elements and three loops (D, anti-codon, and T loops). The record is from Rfam by way of RNAcentral. RNAcentral also lists the same sequence under 1 other name. Lineage: Bacteria; Pseudomonadati; Pseudomonadota; Gammaproteobacteria; Alteromonadales; Alteromonadaceae.
GGAGGGGUUCCCGAGUGGCCAAAGGGAUCAGACUGUAAAUCUGACGGCUCAGCCUUCGCUGGUUCGAAUCCAGCCCCCUCCA